This is a small nuclear RNA of Jaculus jaculus (lesser Egyptian jerboa), 108 nucleotides long. Lineage: Eukaryota; Metazoa; Chordata; Mammalia; Rodentia; Dipodidae. The record is from Ensembl.
GUGCUCAAAUUUGCAGCACAUAUACUAAAAUUGGAAUAAUACAGAAAAGCUAAGCAAUGGCUCCUGUACAAGGACGACACAUAAAUUUGUGAAGCAUGCCAUUAUUUU